This 446-nucleotide ribosomal RNA is filed under the name uncultured bacterium. Its description in RNAcentral is "partial 16S ribosomal RNA". It matches the Rfam family "Bacterial small subunit ribosomal RNA", at positions 338 to 795 of the family's 1533-position model. The record is from RNAcentral.
CCUACGGGUGGCAGCAGUCGAGAAUCAUUCACAAUGGGGGAAACCCUGAUGGUGCGACGCCGCGUGGGGGAAUGAAGGUCUUCGGAUUGUAAACCCCUGUCAUGUGGGAGCAAAUUAAAAAGAUAGUACCACAAGAGGAAGAGACGGCUAACUCUGUGCCAGCAGCCGCGGUAAUACAGAGGUCUCAAGCGUUGUUCGGAAUCACUGGGCGUAAAGCGUGCGUAGGCUGUUUCGUAAGUCGUGUGUGAAAGGCGCGGGCUCAACCCGCGGACGGCACAUGAUACUGCGAGACUAGAGUAAGGGAGGGGGAACCGGAAUUCUCGGUGUAGCAGUGAAAUGCGUAGAUAGCGAGAGGAACACUCGUGGCGAAGGCGGGUUCCUGGACAUUAACUGACGCUGAGGCACGAAGGCCAGGGGAGCGAAAGGGAUUAGAUACCCUAGUAGUC